Molecule: long non-coding RNA, 652 nt
Filed under: Parus major (Great Tit)
Lineage: Eukaryota; Metazoa; Chordata; Aves; Passeriformes; Paridae
Description: lncRNA (ENSPMJG00000011438.1)
Source: RNAcentral
UUCACCACCCUAAAGAGGGAGAUAAGAAGCUGAUGACAUUGGAUGUCCUUUUUGUCCUCAGACUAGUGCUUCAGCUGCAUCCCCAGCUUGCACUCUGAGCUGAAAAAAGCUGUGAUUUUCUACCUAAAUUGGUGCAGAAGCAGCACUACUAAUUAAUUUGCACAGAAGGUCUUGUUCACUUCAAUUCCGUGUGGUGGUAGAUUCAUGCAGGCAAAGAAGGAAGAGAAUGGGAAGCUCCUGUCUGUUGGAAAUAUCAGGAUCAGCCAAUACAAGAGUGCUCAGCAGGAUGAAACCAGGCAGGAGUUGUGCUGAUUCUGCUGUUGACAUUGCCUACAGGAUCCAAGCACUGGGACUGAUGAAGAAGAGGAUGAUGAGCACCAUUCUUUCCUCCACCAUAAAGUUGCAUGAAGUUAGAUGUCAUUGCUUAUCAAUGUAGACUUCUGAAAGCAGGAAGAAUAAUGAUGGGUGGUAUUUCGGGUGAAAACCUCCAUUCUUACUGAAAUGAGGCCGAGGAAGAAGGAAUUACAGCUCAAGAAAAGAAAACCAAAACAAACAAACAAACAAACAAACAAAACCUGACAACAAAUAUUCAGAGGGAGACAGGUUCCCUGCUGUUCCUGAAAUGUUCCGGGGACUGUCUCUUGGAAGACCU